CGGGCGUUGCCGUUGCCUCGCCAGACGCCGGCGUGGGCUCGUGGCCCGAGCUCAAAUCGACGCCUCGUCGCCCGUUGUACGGCGCAGCGGCGACUCGGCGACGGGGCGGGCGAUCCGGUGCUCCCCAGGUUAAUUUUGGCGGCCAAGGUGCCAAAGAUGGCGCGAAAUCCCCACGGGCGCACGCUCUUCACCCCCCCCCCCCCCCCCCCCUUUAUCCUUCCCUCCCCUUCACAAUCCAUUGCAGGAGCUUGGUCCUUCCCGGCGGCGCAAUGGGGUCGGAGAACCAGCAAUCCGCAGCAGCGGCACGUGAUCUCCUAAUUGCGUCGACGACGAGCCAGUGGUAGGAGAUAGCGGUGCGGGCACGGGGUCAAAAGCUCGAGACGUCGUCGAUGGCGAUGACGGCGCACAGGAGGGAAGCUGCGACGGCGCCGCAGGAGCUGGGUCGUCCGCCCGUAGAGCAAAACUUCACCGGCCGCAGUCUCGCCGGUAACCCAACCUUUGGCGCCCCAACACCACCCCCCCUCCCCCGCGACGACGGCGCAGGAGCUGGGUCGUCCGCCCGUAGAGCAAAACUUCACCGGCCGCAGUCUCGCCGGUAACCCAACAUUUGGCGCCCCAACCCAAGGUCCAAUGGCGGCAUGAGCUUCUCCGGCAGCCCCAACCUGAUGUCUUCGACCAUGGCCUAGCAUCAAUCACAGUCUCAACCAUGGAUUCAUGCCGAUCCCACAGAAUGGUGAAAUUGGAUGCUCGCCCUAAAAUUAUUUCUGUUUUCUGGUCUGGUGCACCCUAAUUCUUGGACCAGAAUGAUCAUGCUGUUUUUUAGUUUCCCUUCCCAUGCUACAAACUGAAUGGGUUUCUGAAACUGAACAUGUCAUGCAUGUGUGUGUGUGUAUGCCGAUCCGACAGAAUGGUAAGGCUUCUUAGCACUUUGUUGUGAGAAUUUUUGUUCCAGCUUCCAAAUUGUAGUGUGAAUUCUGUUAGGGACUUUUAGUUUGGCAAUGGCGAACACAAGAAGAUUACAUCAUUGGAAUAUGCUACUGACUACUAAUUAGAAAACAUAACAAAUUUUAUUUUCUUGUCAGUGAAAACUAAGUCAAGGUUAAGGCCAUUUUUUGAAUGUUGAGCACUGCCACUUUGCAUUCAGUCUCACCAUUUUCUGCUAGGUGUGCUCAGAAUUUAUCAGCCACACAUGGUGUCAAUUUCUGUUUAGUUUGGCAAGCAGUACUGAAUGCACUAAAUGCUACAUGGUUCAUAUAGAGAUGCACUGAAAUGUUUUUUUCUAUAACAUUCUAAAACUGAAGCCUGUAUGGAUGUGCUGGAAUUUUAUUUUUAGUUUGGCAAGCAGUGUUUCUGCAACUGAAUGCCUGAAUGCUGCAUGGUUCAUAUAGAGAUGCACUGAAAUGUUUUUUUUCUAUAACAUUCUGAAACUGAAGCCUGUAUGGAUGUGCUACAAUUUUCUGCAGUCAAUAUUUCCUGAUAUGUACUAAGGUGAGUUCCAGUUUCAGUUUUUAGUCAAUUGAGUGAAGUCUGGUAGUAGCACUUAAUUAGUGAAAUUGCAUUUAAGUAGAUGACAAUAGAUGGAAUCAGUACCACUUAAUUUUCUGAAAUGUUUGUUUUCUAUGAAAAAUUAUCCUGUAGUUAAAUGUUACAGACAUUUUUUCUUUCCUGAGCUGUUACAGGCAUUUUUACUCCCUGACAGUGAGCUGUUACAGAUAUUUUUUUCUCCUACACACCUUUUACUGGAACUCAACCUACACACCUUGAUAAUUUUUCUUUGCUCCUACAUUAUUAUGCAUAAGCAGAAUCCAAGGGGUAUUGGAGAUGUGUAAAGUUUUUUUGUUUCCCUGAAAGCACCAUUUUUCACUUAAUGGUAGAUCUACAUUUUUUUCUCCUGAACUGGCCUGCAUUUUUGCCCCUGAACUGACAGCAAUUCAAUGUGCCUUACAGGUACAAGAAGGAAGGCAAAAUUGGAGCAAAAUGUUACACUGGCUGAAGAGAUAGGAGGCUCUGUUGUUAGUUUCUUAGUGCUCAAAAACAAGAUAGGAGGAUCUGCAUAAGAGGCUGGUGCAUGAGCAGGCUCUAUAGUUAGUUUAUGAAAUUUCAGAGGAGGCUCUGUACUUAGUUUUUGAAAUGUCAGACUUGUUUCUAGUUUAUUAAUUGGUUACAAUGGUCAAACUUCUGGUGCUAUUUGAAGUUCCUGAAUUUUUUCUGAAAGCCAGGCUUGAGAAUGUCUGUGUGACCAA
This is a long non-coding RNA of Panicum virgatum (switchgrass), 2243 nucleotides long. RefSeq lists it as uncharacterized. The record is from RefSeq and is a predicted model, not a curated record. NCBI's taxonomy places the organism in Eukaryota, Viridiplantae, Streptophyta, Magnoliopsida, Poales, Poaceae. The transcript is spliced from 2 exons.